RNAcentral lists this ribosomal RNA (396 nucleotides) under uncultured bacterium. RNAcentral's name for it is "partial 16S ribosomal RNA". It matches the Rfam family "Bacterial small subunit ribosomal RNA", at positions 523 to 918 of the family's 1533-position model. The record is from RNAcentral.
AUACGUAGGGGGCAAGCGUUAUCCGGAUUUACUGGGUGUAAAGGGAGCGCAGGCGGCGGGACAAGUCAGAAGUGAAAUCCCCGGGCUCACCCCGGGGGCUGCUUUUGAAACUGUUCUGCUAGAUUCCAGGAGAGGUAAGCGGAAUUCCUAGUGUAGCGGUGAAAUGCGUAGAUAUUAGGAGGAACACCAGUGGCGAAGGCGGCUUACUGGACUGGCAAUGACGCUCAGGCUCGAAAGCGUGGGGAGCAAACAGGAUUAGAUACCCGGGUAGUCCACGCCGUAAACGAUGAAUACUAGGUGUCGGGCCCGCACAGGGUUCGGUGCCGGCGCAAACGCAUUAAGUAUUCCACCUGGGGAGUACGUUCGCAAGAAUGAAACUCAAAGGAAUUGGCGGGG